Molecule: RNA transcript, 425 nt
Organism: Mastomys coucha (southern multimammate mouse)
Lineage: Eukaryota; Metazoa; Chordata; Mammalia; Rodentia; Muridae
Gene name: small acidic protein pseudogene
Exons: 2
Source: RefSeq, a predicted model, not a curated record
GCGAGUCUGUUUGGCAUAUCCCCAUCGGGAUCCCAGCUACAAUGAGUGCUGCCCAGGAGUCUCACCCGCACGGGGUGAAACGUUCAGCCUCCACCGACAACGAUCUUGGAUCUAGCAAUUGGGAGGCAGCAGACUCGGGCAAUGAAGAAAGAAAACAGAAGUUCUUGAGACUUAUGGGUGCAGGAAAGAAAGAACCCACUGGCCGCCUUGUUAUAGGAGAUCACAAAUCAACAUCUCACUUCCGAACAGGGGAAGAAGACAAGAAAAUUAAUGAAGAGCUGGAGUCUCAGUAUCAGCAGAGCAUGGACAGCAAACUGUCAGGACGGUACCGGGACGGGCUCGGCUUCAGUGAGGUAGAAGAUCAUGAUGGAGAAGGUGAUGUGGCUGGAGAUGAUGAUGAGGAAGACUCCCCUGAUUAUAUCUAG